GACGAACGCUGGCGGCGUGCUUAACACAUGCAAGUCGAACGGAAAGGCCCUGCUUUUGUUGGGUGCUCGAGUGGCGAACGGGUGAGUAACACGUGAGUAACCUGCCCUUGACUUUGGGAUAACUUCAGGAAACUGGGGCUCAUACCGGAUAGGAUCUCCUGCUGCAUGGUGGGGGUUGGAAAGUUUCGGCUGUUGGGGAUGGACUCGCGGCUUAUCAGCUUGUUGGUGGGGUAGUGGCUUACCAAGGCUUUGACGGGUAGCCGGCCUGAGAGGGUGACCGGCCACAUGGGGACUGAGAGACGGCCCAGAAUCGUACGGGAGGCAGCAGUGGGGAAUAUUGCACAAUGGGCGGAAGCCAGAUGCAGAAACGCCGCGUGCGGGAUGACGGCCUUCGGGGUGUAAACCGCUUUCGACUGUGACGAAGCGUGAGUGACGGUAAUGGGUAAAGAAGCAACGGCUAACUACGUG
Molecule: ribosomal RNA, 468 nt
Filed under: uncultured bacterium
Lineage: Bacteria
Description: partial 16S ribosomal RNA
Rfam family: Bacterial small subunit ribosomal RNA
Source: RNAcentral